Long non-coding RNA from Gossypium raimondii (Peruvian cotton), 2315 nucleotides. RefSeq lists it as uncharacterized. The transcript has 3 exons. The record is from RefSeq and is a predicted model, not a curated record. NCBI's taxonomy places the organism in Eukaryota, Viridiplantae, Streptophyta, Magnoliopsida, Malvales, Malvaceae.
AAAGCAUACUUCAAAGACUGUGACCUGUUUUCUACUUUCCUUGUAUUUUCCCAUCAAUGCUCGCCCUCCCACAAGCAUUUGGGGUCCAUCUCAUUUGUCACUAUUCAAUCACUUCAACUCAUUGCCUGUUAACCCCAAUUAUACAGAAUCCAUCUCCAUUUCUUUCCCUGAAUUUCCAUCUCUCUCUUUGAUUUCUUUAUCGUAAUUCCACCAUGUCUGUCAUUUGAGAGGCUGCUCUUUCUGCGUUUUUGGAGCUGUUGUCUGGCAAGUUGGUUGACUCUGUACUCAACUUUGUGGCCGGUCACAGGCAAGUCCACCAGCAACUCGAGCAGUGGCAAUCCAUAUUACCCGAGAUCACAGCAGUGUUGAACCGUACAGAGGAGAAGCAGAUCAAGGGCGAGGACGAGGGUGUGAAGAAUUGGUUGGACGAUCUCCAAGACUUAGCUUACGAUGUGGAUGACAUCUUGGACGAGUUCGCUUACCAACAGUUACAUCUCAAGCUCCAAAAACCUCAAUCUCAAGCCAGCACUAGUAAGCAUGCCACCACGUGAAGAGUUCCCGACUAAAGGAUUGGAAGAUGCACCAAGUAAUGAUAUAGGUUGGCACUUUGAAACUCCAGUGCCAAAUACGAAAGGAGAUAUCGUAUGUAAACUUUGUGGUAAAGUUGUGAAAGGAGGAAUAACACGAUCUAAAGAGCACAUUGCUCAUAAAACUGGCAAUGUUGCACCAUGCGCUAAUAUUAUUAUUAUUUUUAAAUGUUAUUGUAAAUUUAUCAAUAAAGAUUAUAUAUAAUUGAUAAUAAUAUAAAGUGUGAAUUAUUUUUAUUUUAUUAACAAGUUUCAUUAGAGAAAGUAUGAUAAAUAUACUGAAAGAAAGCAACACAAAGAAUAUAGACAAAAAGAGGAGAAAAGAUGAAUUUUUAUCUCAAUUAAGAGAAGAGGAGGAUGAACACGAAGAAUUCAUUGAUAAGGUUUCUGCUAUAAGGCAAGCAACUCGAGAAAGUAUCCAAUCACAACACGAGUGGCAUAGAAGGGAAGAAUUCAGAUGAAAUACUGGUGGUUGGAAUAACAUUUAUGAAGAAGGACGAUCUUCUCAUGGAUCAACUAGAGAACAUCAUAGAGAAAGAACAAGUAAAUUCAUCCCAAGUGAGUCUAAGUUUACCUUAAGGGGAGCUAUACCUGAAUUGGUUAGAAGCAGAAGUUCAAAGCAACCAAAGGUCAGUGACUCUUUUUUAAAGAGUUUUUGAAGGAAGAUAGGUGAAGCGGUAUCUAAAUUUUUAAUAUAUGAAAUACUUCCUUUUCAAUUAGCAAGCUCUCUAUGGUUGUAUAACUUAAUUCAACUGUCAACAGAAGUUGGGCAAGGUGUAAAGCUCCCAACUCCUUAUGAGGUUUCAGAUAUGUAUUUGAAGUUAGAGUAUCAACGAGUUCGUGAUUGGGUAAAUGGACUAAAGACUCAUCGGAAAGAAUUGGGUGCAACUCUAAUGUGUGAUGGUUGGACCAACAGUUUGAAUCAAAUGCACAUCAUUAAUUUCCUUAUUUAUUGCAGUAAAGGAACCAUUUUUUGGAAAUCAGUAGAUGUCUCAAGUGUACGUAGUAGAGAUGCUGAAUUCUACUACUGUUUGUUAGAUUCAGUUGUAGAAGAAAUUGGAGAAAAUUACAUUGUCCAAAUAGUGACUGAUAAUGAGGCAGUAAUGAAAGCUGUUGGAAAAAAAUUAAUAUUGAAAAGAAAGCAUCUAUAUUGGACCUCAUGUGCAGCUCACUGUUUAGAUUUAUGCCUUGAAGAUAUUGGGAAAAAGCCCAGUGUAGCAAAAGUGUUAGAUGAGGCAAAAAUAGUGACUUGCUUUAUAUACAAUCACAUUUGGACUGUUGAUUUGAUGAAGAAGUAUACAUAAGGGAAACAAAUACUUCGACCUGCUCUUACUCGAUUUGCAACUCAUUUCAUUCAACUUGAAGAGAUAACAAGACAAAAGCAAGGUCUGAGAGAAAUGUUUAAUUCAAAGGAAUUUAAAGAAUCAAAAUGGGGACAGCAAAAGUCAGAGCCUGCUUAUGAAGCCAAAACAAUUGUUUUGGGAAAAGAUUUUUGGAAAAAAGCCAAUGACCUCAUAAAAGCUUACGAGCCCCUAGUAAAAGUAUUGAGACUUGUUGAUAGCGAUGAAAAUGAGAUUUAUUUAUGAGGCUAUUGAUAGAGCUAAACGAGCAAUUCAACAAGAUUGUCGAUAUUUCACUGAGUACGAAAGAUUAUUGACAAUAGAUGAAAUUUUAUGCAUUCUGACUUGUACUCAGCUGGUAAGAUAAAAUGUUUCAUAUAAUUAAGAA